GUUUUUUCAUUUUUCCAGAAACAGGGUCUGGCUCUGUCGUCCAGACUGGAGUGCGGUGACACGAUCAUGUUUCACUGCAGCCCUGGCCUCCUGGGCUAGAGCGAUCCUCCUGC
Molecule: long non-coding RNA, 113 nt
Organism: Nomascus leucogenys (northern white-cheeked gibbon)
Lineage: Eukaryota; Metazoa; Chordata; Mammalia; Primates; Hylobatidae
Exons: 3
Source: RefSeq, a predicted model, not a curated record